GCUGGGGUGGCGGAAUUGGCAUACGCGCACGUUUGAGGGGCGUGUUCCUAAAAGGAAUGCGGGUUCAAGUCCCGCCCCCAGCA
This 83-nucleotide transfer RNA is filed under the name Elusimicrobia bacterium RIFOXYD2_FULL_34_15. RNAcentral's name for it is "tRNA-Leu". It matches the Rfam family "tRNA". Rfam says of the family: Transfer RNA (tRNA) molecules are approximately 80 nucleotides in length. Their secondary structure includes four short double-helical elements and three loops (D, anti-codon, and T loops). Further hydrogen bonds mediate the characteristic L-shaped molecular structure. tRNAs have two regions of fundamental functional importance: the anti-codon, which is responsible for specific mRNA codon recognition, and the 3' end, to which the tRNAs corresponding amino acid is attached (by aminoacyl-tRNA synthetases). tRNAs cope with the degeneracy of the genetic code in two manners: having more than one tRNA (with a specific anti-codon) for a particular amino acid; and 'wobble' base-pairing, i.e. permitting non-standard base-pairing at the 3rd anti-codon position. The record is from RNAcentral. Lineage: Bacteria; Pseudomonadati; Elusimicrobiota.